RNAcentral lists this ribosomal RNA (575 nucleotides) under uncultured bacterium. RNAcentral describes it as "bacterial SSU rRNA". It matches the Rfam family "Bacterial small subunit ribosomal RNA", at positions 350 to 916 of the family's 1533-position model. The record is from RNAcentral.
AGCAGUGGGGAAUAUUGCGCAAUGGGCGAAAGCUGACGCAGCGACGCCGCGUGGAGGAAGAAGGCCUUCGGGUCGUAAACUCCUGUCAGGGGGAACGAAAAGCUUCCGGUAAAUAGCCGGGAGUCUUGACGGUACCCCCAGAGGAAGCCCCGGCUAACUACGUGCCAGCAGCCGCGGUAAUACGUAGGGGGCGAGCGUUGUUCGGAUUUAUUGGGCGUAAAGCGCGCGUAGGUGGUUAGGUAAGUGAGAGGUUAAAUCCCUCUGCUCAACAGAGGAAUCGCCUCUUAAACUGCCUUCCUUGAGUGCAGGAGAGGAGAGCGGAAUUCCUGGUGGAGCGGUGAAAUGCGUAGAUACCAGGAGGAACACCGGUGGCGAAGGCGGCUCUCUGGACUGAUACUGACGCUGAGGCGCGAAAGCCAGGGGGAGCAAACGGGAUUAGAUACCCCGGUAGUCCUGGCCCUAAACGAUGGACACUAGGUGUUGGAGGUAUCGACCCCUCCAGUGCCGCAGCUAACGCAUUAAGUGUCCCGCCUGGGGAGUACGGCCGCAAGGUUGAAACUCAAAGGAAUUGACGG